Molecule: long non-coding RNA, 1648 nt
Organism: Phasianus colchicus (ring-necked pheasant)
Lineage: Eukaryota; Metazoa; Chordata; Aves; Galliformes; Phasianidae
Source: Ensembl
CUUUUUGGGGUCAUUUUGGGGCUUUUUGGGGUCAAUUUUUGGGGUCAUUUGGUUCCUUUUUGGGGUCUUUUUUGGGGUCAAUUUUUGGGCUCUUUCUUCGGAAUCUUUUUGGGGUCAUUUUGGGUCUUUUUGGUGUCAACUUUUGGGGUCUUUUGGGUCAUUUUUGGGUCCUGCUUGGGAUCUUUUUUGGGGGUCCCUUUUUGGGGUCAUUUGGGUUUUUUUGGGGGUCAUUUUGGGGCUUUUUGGGGUCAAUUUUUGGGGGUUCUUGUGGGUCCUCCUUGAGGUCUUUUUUUGGGAUCUUUUUGGGGUCAUUUUGAAGCUUUUUGGUGUCAGUUUUUGGGGUCAUUUGGGUCAUUUUUGGGUCCUGCUUGGGAUCUUUUUUUGGGGUCCCUUUUUGGGGUCAUUUGGGUCCUUUUUGGGGUCAUUUUGGGUCUUUUUGGUGUCAAUUUUUGGGGUCAUUCGGGUCAUUUUUGGGUCCUGUUUGGCUUCUUUUUUGGGAUUUCCUUUGUUUCUCAUUGGCGUCAACUUUUGGGGUCAUUUGUGUCCAUUUUGGGGCCGAAUUUCGCCUCGUUUUGGGGCCAUUUCGGCUCCUUUUCAACAGGAAAGUGGGAUUUUACCAAAAAUUGCUGUUUUUUCCCCAAAAUUUGCUCCCCCCCCCCUCGUUUUUAAGGAACUGGAGGCCAUCAAGGCUCGCGUCCGAGAGAUGGAGGAGGAGGCAGAGAAACUCAAAGAGCUCCAAAACGAAGUGGAGAAACAGAUGAACAUGAGCCCCCCCCCGGGCAAUGGUGGGUCAUUUUUGGGGUCAUUUUGGGGGAUUUUGGGUCAUUUUGGGGUGUGGGAAAAUCGGGGGGUCAAUUUUGGGGGGAUUUGGGGUCAAAUUUGGGGGAUUUGGGGUCAUUUUGGGGUCCCACUUUAGGGUCCCAUUGGUGCCACGUUUUGGGGUCGCUUUGGGGUUUCAUUUGGGGUCAUUUUGGGGUGACUUUUGGGGUUUUCUUUGGGGUCCCACUGGUGCCACAUUUGGGGUUCAUUUUGGUGGGAUUUGGGGUCAUUUUGGUGGGAUUUGGGGUCAUUUUGGGGUCCCAUUUUGGGUCCCAUUGGUGCCACGUUUUGGGGUCACUUUGGGGUUUUAUUUGGGGUGAUUUUGGGGUGACUUUUGGGGUCAAAAUGGGGUUCAUUUGGGUGGGAUUUGGGGCCAUUUUGGUGGCAUUUUGGGCCAUUUUGGUGGGAUUUGGGGCCAUUUUGGGGUGGAUUUGGGGCCAUUUUGGGGUCCCAUUUUGGGGUCCCAUUGGUGCCACGUUUUGGGGUCGCUUUGGGGUUUCUUUUGGGGUGAUUUUGGGGUCACAUUGGGGGUCAUUUUGGGGGGAUUUGGGGUCAUUUUGGGGUCCCAUUUUGGGGUCCCAUUUUGGAGUCAUUGCUGCCACAUUUUGGGGUCAUUUUGGGGGGAUUUGGGGUCAUUUUGGGGUCCCAUUUUUGGGUCCCAUUGGUGCCACAUUUUGGGGUCGCAUUGGGGUUUUAUUUGGGGUCCCACUGGUGCCACAUUUGGGGUUCAUUUGGGUGGGAUUUUGGGUUCAUUUUGGGGGGAUUUGGGGCCAUUUUGGUGGGAUUUGGGGUCAUUUUGGUGGGAUUUGGGGCCAUUUUGGUGGGAUUU